RNAcentral lists this long non-coding RNA (264 nucleotides) under Lathyrus oleraceus (garden pea). Its description in RNAcentral is "Pisum sativum (pea) long non-coding RNA (PSAT_LNC035740)". Lineage: Eukaryota; Viridiplantae; Streptophyta; Magnoliopsida; Fabales; Fabaceae. The record is from RNAcentral.
UUAGGUUUAGUUCCUUCCUUCACCGAUUAAUAAAAAUCUUAGUUUUAGUUCCCUUCUUUAAAAAAUGCAAAAAAAAAUUCUCUCUUCUUUUGAUACUAUUCUUCUUUCCCUCUUAAUAACUCGAGAAGCCUAACAAUUCUAAGCUAACACUAAUGCCCACAACUAACCUAAUGGUUCACGUUGAGUAUAACAGACGCGAGGGGUACAAAUACCUUCCCCUUGUGUAAUUGACUCCCGAAACCUGAUUUGGUUGCGACGACCAAC